RNAcentral lists this long non-coding RNA (238 nucleotides) under Lathyrus oleraceus (garden pea). RNAcentral's name for it is "Pisum sativum (pea) long non-coding RNA (PSAT_LNC020299)". The record is from RNAcentral. Lineage: Eukaryota; Viridiplantae; Streptophyta; Magnoliopsida; Fabales; Fabaceae.
CAAAUGCUAUAUAUAAUCAGAGAAAUGGAAACAGAGGACAACAAUACCGUCAAGUUGCUGCUGUGACUAUUCUAGCAACCCAACCUCAACAACAACAAAGAGGACAACCACAACAACAACAACAGCAACGCCAAUUCCAACCAAGACAAAGAAUGCCAGAUCUUCAUUUUGAUCCGUUGCCAAUGACUUAUGCUGAAUUACUCCCUGAACUGCUCAGGUUAAAGUUUGUUGAACUUCG